This 744-nucleotide ribosomal RNA is filed under the name uncultured cyanobacterium. RNAcentral's name for it is "bacterial SSU rRNA". It matches the Rfam family "Bacterial small subunit ribosomal RNA", at positions 8 to 796 of the family's 1533-position model. Lineage: Bacteria; Bacillati; Cyanobacteriota. The record is from RNAcentral.
AGAGUUUGAUCCUGGCUCAGGAUGAACGCUGGCGGUAUGCUUAACACAUGCAAGUCGAACGGUGUCUUCGGACAUAGUGGCGGACGGGUGAGUAACGCGUGAGAAUCUGCCUUCAGGUUGGGGACAACAGCUGGAAACGGCUGCUAAUACCCAAUGUGCCGAGAGGUGAAAGCUUUAGUGCCUGAAGAUGAGCUCGCGUCUGAUUAGCUAGUUGGAGUGGUAACGGCACACCAAGGCAGCGAUCAGUAACUGGUCUGAGAGGAUGACCAGUCACACUGGGACUGAGACACGGCCCAGACUCCUACGGGAGGCAGCAGUGGGGAAUUUUCCGCAAUGGGCGAAAGCCUGACGGAGCAAUACCGCGUGAGGGAGGAAGGCUCUUGGGUUGUAAACCUCUUUUCUCAGGGAAGAACACAAUGACGGUACCUGAGGAAUAAGCAUCGGCUAACUCCGUGCCAGCAGCCGCGGUAAUACGGAGGAUGCAAGCGUUAUCCGGAAUUAUUGGGCGUAAAGCGUCCGCAGGUGGCACUUCAAGUCUGUCGUCAAAGACCGGGGCUUAACCCUGGAAAGGCGAUGGAAACUGAACAGCUAGAGAGAGGUAGGGGUAGAGGGAAUUCCCAGUGUAGCGGUGAAAUGCGUAGAGAUUGGGAAGAACAUCGGUGGCGAAAGCGCUCUACUGGACCUCAUCUGACACUCAGGGACGAAAGCUAGGGGAGCGAAUGGGAUUAGAUACCCCCGUAGUCC